UGGGGAAUCUUGCGCAAUGGGCGAAAGCCUGACGCAGCGACGCCGCGUGAGUGAUGAAGGCCUUCGGGUUGUAAAGCUCUGUGGAGGGGGACGAAUAAGGGCUGGCUAAUAUCCAGCUCGAUGACGGUACCCCUUUAGCAAGCACCGGCUAACUCUGUGCCAGCAGCCGCGGUAAGACAGAGGGUGCAAACGUUGUUCGGAAUUACUGGGCGUAAAGCGCGUGUAGGCUGCUUGGAAAGUCGGAUGUGAAAGCCCUGGGCUCAACCUAGGAAGUGCAUUCGAAACUUCUGAGCUGGAGUGCUGGAGAGGAAGGCGGAAUUCUCGGUGUAGAGGUGAAAUUCGUAGAUAUCGAGAGGAACACCGGUGGCGAAGGCGGCCUUCUGGACAGCAACUGACGCUGAGACGCGAAAGCGUGGGGAGCAAACAG
This 427-nucleotide ribosomal RNA is filed under the name uncultured bacterium. Its description in RNAcentral is "bacterial SSU rRNA". It matches the Rfam family "Bacterial small subunit ribosomal RNA", at positions 355 to 775 of the family's 1533-position model. The record is from RNAcentral.